Molecule: ribosomal RNA, 440 nt
Filed under: uncultured bacterium
Lineage: Bacteria
Description: bacterial SSU rRNA
Rfam family: Bacterial small subunit ribosomal RNA
Source: RNAcentral
CCUACGGGGGGCUGCAGUGGGGAAUAUUGCACAAUGGGGGAAACCCUGAUGCAGCAACGCCGCGUGAGCGAUGAAGGCCUUCGGGUCGUAAAGCUCUGUCCUAAGGGAAGAAUACUGACGGUACCUUAGGAGGAAGCCCCGGCUAACUACGUGCCAGCAGCCGCGGUAAUACGUAGGGGGCUAGCGUUAUCCGGAAUUACUGGGCGUAAAGGGUGCGUAGGCGGCCCGUCAAGUCAGAGGUGAAAGGCUAAGGCUCAACCGUAGUAAGCCUUUGAAACUGUAGGGCUUGAGUGCAGGAGAGGAGAAGGGAAUUCCCAGUGUAGGGGUGAACUGCGUAGAUAUUGGGAGGAACACCACUUGGGAAGGCGGCACUCUGGACUGUAACUGACUCUGAGGCACGAAAGCGUGGGGAGCGAACACGAUUAGAUCCCCUAGUAAUC